AGUGAACGCUGGCGGUAGGCCUAACACAUGCAAGUCGAACGGCAGCACAGAGGAGCUUGCUCCUUGGGUGGCGAGUGGCGGACGGGUGAGGAAUACAUCGGAAUCUACUCUGUCGUGGGGGAUAACGUAGGGAAACUUACGCUAAUACCGCAUACGCCCUACGGGUGAAAGCAGGGGAUCUUCGGACCUUGCGCGAUUGAAUGAGCCGAUGUCGGAUUAGCUAGUUGGCGGGGUAAAGGCCCACCAAGGCGACGAUCCGUAGCUGGUCUGAGAGGAUGAUCAGCCACACUGGAACUGAGACACGGUCCAGACGCCGACGGGAGUCAGCAGUGGGGAAUAUUGGAAGAUGGGCGCAAGCCUGAUCCAGCCAUACCACGUGGGUGAAGAAGGCCUUCGGGUUGUAAAGCCCUUUUGUUGGGAAAGAAAUCCAUCUGGUUAAUACCCGGGUGGGAUGACGGUACCCAAAGAAUAAGCACCGGCUAACUUCGUACCAGCAGCCGCCGUAA
RNAcentral lists this ribosomal RNA (506 nucleotides) under uncultured bacterium. RNAcentral's name for it is "partial 16S ribosomal RNA". It matches the Rfam family "Bacterial small subunit ribosomal RNA", at positions 29 to 523 of the family's 1533-position model. The record is from RNAcentral.